UGCCCAGGAGAUGGAAAUCUGCCAUCACUGU
This 31-nucleotide non-coding RNA is filed under the name Rattus norvegicus (Norway rat). Lineage: Eukaryota; Metazoa; Chordata; Mammalia; Rodentia; Muridae. The record is from RNAcentral.